CCUACGGGGGGCAGCAGUGAGGAAUAUUGGUCAAUGGACGAGAGUCUGAACCAGCCAAGUAGCGUGAAGGAUGACUGCCCUAUGGGUUGUAAACUUCUUUUAUAUGGGAAUAAAAUGUUCCACGUGUGGGAUUUUGUAUGUACCUUAUGAAUAAGGAUCGGCUAACUCCGUGCCAGCAGCAGCGGCAAUACGGAGGAUCCGAGCGUUAUCCGGAUUUAUUGGGUUUAAAGGGAGCGUAGGUGGAUUGUUAAGUCAGUUGUGAAAGUUUGCGGCUCAACCGUAAAAUUGCAGUUGAAACUGGCAGUCUUGAGUACAGUAGAGGUGGGCGGAAUUCGUGGUGUAGCGGUGAAAUGCUUAGAUAUCACGAAGAACUCCGAUUGCGAAGGCAGUUCACUGGACUGCAACUGACACUGAGGCUCGAAAGUGUGGGUAUCAAACAGGAUUAGAUACCCCAGUAGUC
Molecule: ribosomal RNA, 460 nt
Filed under: uncultured bacterium
Lineage: Bacteria
Description: partial 16S ribosomal RNA
Rfam family: Bacterial small subunit ribosomal RNA
Source: RNAcentral